GUAUUUCAAAUGAUGCGUCGAAACAUACUCUCGGAUAUUGGAGAAGCCACCAUACGUCAUAACUC
This 65-nucleotide transfer RNA is filed under the name Debaryomyces hansenii. The record is from RNAcentral. Lineage: Eukaryota; Fungi; Ascomycota; Pichiomycetes; Serinales; Debaryomycetaceae.